Long non-coding RNA from Clupea harengus (Atlantic herring), 1021 nucleotides. NCBI's taxonomy places the organism in Eukaryota, Metazoa, Chordata, Actinopteri, Clupeiformes, Clupeidae. The record is from Ensembl.
CACGCACAGUCUUUUUCAUAUCUAACUGCUACGCCGUAUGCGUCCACUCUUCACUCUGCUGGGUCAUAAAACUGAAGCAGGGAGAGAACCCUGGUUUCUCUCAAUGGCGGGUAUAAUUUAUUUAUUCACAUUUAGAUCAAUAAUGUAUUCGUUUCCUGUAAUUGAAGUGUUUAAUGUGGUGAGCUGCACACUAUGGCAUUCCUACGUAACUUAAUUCCAUUUUUUUUUUCAUGUUUGCAAUCAAGACUGCUUAUCUUUAUGUGCUGAGUAGUAGCUGACCUAGAAUGAUGCUCCCCCGGACAUUCUGUGGUUGAGCAACCCUAGAGGAGGUCAUAGAAAGGUCUGUUAAGGUUAGAGAGCAUUCAUCUUCCGUGGUCUAUCCAUCUCCCCAUCAAAAAUGAAUAACUGUACACAUUCCCUUGUCAAAAGUCUCAGUGAGUUAUUUUACUUGUUAUUCAUUUUUUAUUUUGAGGGAGCGUUGAACGAAUUUGACAAAAUGUGUAUUACUCAGUUAACUUCACACUCCUUCUCAGGGACAAACCUGGGAAUGAUGAACUCUGAAGAGGAGACUUGCCAACUUCACUAUACGUGUAUGGAACAUAGCACAACAUACUCAUAUUGAACAUGCAGUUUACAAUAUACAAUGGCAGCAACAACAAGAAAUUGCACAUUCUACAUUAUUUGACCACAUUCGACAGCCUACAUAGAACAACAAAACAAACAAACAAAUAAAUAAAUAAAUGAAGGACAACUGAAAAUAAAAAAAAAAUAAAAAUACUGACUUAUAAACACAAACACAAACACAAUAGAUGCCAAAUACUGUGUUGUACUGUCUCCCCUGAAGUUAUAGUUCAUAAUUGUAUUAUUACAUUUCAACAUCUGAAUAUCCCUGUUUCAGCAGAAGAGGAAGCAGGAAGCUGAGGGUACACAUACAGUAUAAAACUAUUUCAAGAUUGUUUCCCUGAAAAAGCGUGCUUAAACCAGGCAACAAUCAGGUGAAAACUUUAUUUAUAUAACACGG